Oncorhynchus tshawytscha (Chinook salmon) is the source of this 3444-nucleotide long non-coding RNA. Lineage: Eukaryota; Metazoa; Chordata; Actinopteri; Salmoniformes; Salmonidae. The record is from Ensembl.
AGCAAUGACUCGCUGUCAUAUAGUGUAUUCAUUUUUGGGGGGGGGGGGGGUCAAUGCUUUCUUUAACACUGAACAUUUUUUUUUUUAACGCAACAUGUAAAGUGUUGACCCCAUGUUUCAUGAGCUGAAAUAAAAAAAAAUCCCCCAAAUUUUUCCACACACACACACACACAGCUUAUUUCUCUAAAAUGUUGUGUGUGAAUUUGUUUACAUUCCUGUUAGUGAGCGUUUUCUCAUUUGCCAAGAUUAAUCCAUCCACCUGAAAGGUGUGGCAUAUCAAGAAGCUGAUUAAACCGCAUGAUCGUUACACAGGUGCACCUUGUGCUGGGGGACGUUUAUAAAAGGCCACUUUAAAAUGUGCUGUUUUGUCAUAAAACACAAUGCCACAGAUGUUUUGAGGGAGUGUGAAAUUGGCAUGCUGACUGCAGGAAUGUCCACCGGAGCGGUUGCCAGACAAUUGAAUGUUAAUUUAUCUACCAUAAACUGUCUCCAAUAUAUUUUUGAGGUUAUUUGUCAGUACGUCCAAACGGCCCCACAACCACAGACCACAUAUAACCACACCAGCCCAGGACCUCCACAUCAGGCUUCUUCACCUGCGGGAUCGUCUGAGGUGGGGUGCUGAGGAGUAUUUAUUUUUUUGGGCCCUUUUGUGGGGCAAAACUAAUUCUGAUUAGCUGGGCCUGCCUCCCCAGUGGGCCCGCCUCCCCAGUGGGCCCGCCUCCCCAGUGGGCCCGCCUCCCCAGUGGGCCCGCCUCCCCAGUCAUGUUAAAUCCAUAAAUUAGGGCCUAAUGAGUUUAUUUCAAUCGACUGAUUUCUUUAUAUGAACUGUAACUCAAUAAAAUCUUUGAAGUUGUUGCAUGUUGCGUUUAUAUUUUUGUUCAGUUUUAUUAUAUAUAUAUAUAAACAAACACUACUCCAUGUCCUGGACAAGGGGACUGUUUCAACAUACCACAUUUCAGUGUCUAGUUGAAACGAAGCACCUAUAUUAAACAGUGAUUGGUUUGGCUUGGUGAUAGAGUGACUGCAUGGGGAUAUAUUAUGCUUAGACGAGGAGACCAUGUGACCUGACCAGGAAACACUGUCAUAUAGGGCCAGUGUUUCCUGGUCCCUCCUCCAGUCCCCCCAACAGCCCAACUCCAGUCCUCCAGUACCCCCAACAGCCCAACUCUAGUCCUCCAGUACCCCCAACAACCCAACUCUAGUCCUCCUGUACCCACAACAGCCCAACUACAGUACCCCCAACAGCCCAACUCUAGUCCUCCAGUACCCCCAACAGCCCAACUCUAGUCCUCCACCCAACUCUAGUCCUCCUGUACCCCCAACAGCCCAACUCUAGUCCUCCAGUACCCCCAACAGCCCAACUCUAGUCCUCCAAUACCCCCAACAGCCCAACUCUAGUCCUCCAGUACCCCCAACAGCCCAACUCUAGUCCUCCAAUACCCCCAACAACCCAACUCUAGUCCUCCAGUACCCCCAACUCUAGUCCUCCAGUACCCCCAACAGCCCAACUCCAGUCCUCCAGUACCCCCAACAGCCCAACUCCAGUACCCCGAACAGCCCAACUCCAGUCCUCCAGUAUCCCCACUCAUUUUUUGUUGUUGGCCCAGAUGACAAAUUCCUCUGAUUCAACUAAUUGAGGAUGAAGUUGAAUCAGGUGUGCUUGUUUGGGGCCUACAACAACAAUGUGUUCUGUUGUAGGACUGGAGGUGGGAAACACUGCUAUAUGGGGUGGAAAAACUACUCAAAUCUCAUUCUGUAGUAAAAGUGAGGAUAUUCUAAUAGAAAAUUACCACUUGAGUAAAAGUAUUUGGUUUUAAAUGUACUUAAGUAUCAAAAGUAAAUGUAGUUGCUAAAAUAUACUUAAGUAUCAAAAGUAUGAAUAAUUAAAAAUUCCUUAUAUUAAGAAAACCAGAUGGCACAAUUUUCUUGUUUUUUUAUUUUUGCUGUGCAAGGGUCACAUUCCAACACUCAGACAUGAUUUAAAAACAACGCAGUUGUGUUUAGUGAGUCCUCCAGAUCAGAGGCAGUAGGGAUGACCAGGGAUGUUCUCUGUUUAGUGAGUCCACCAGAUCAGAGGCAGUAGAGAUGACCAGGGAUGUUCUCUGUUUAGUGAGUCCUCCAGAUCAGAGAUAGUAGUGAUGACCAGGGAUGUUCUCUGUUUAGUGAGUCCUCCAGAUCAGAGGCAGUAGGGAUGACCAGGGAUGUUCUCUGUUUAGUGAGUCCUCCAGAUCAGAGGCAGUAGUGAUGACCAGGGAUGUUCUCUGUUUAGUGAGUCCUCCAGAUCAGAGGCAGUAGAGAUGACCAGGGAUGUUCUCUGUUUAGUGAGUCCUCCAGAUCAGAGAUAGUAGUGAUGACCAGGGAUGUUCUCUGUUUAGUGAGUCCUCCAGAUCAGAGGCAGUAGAGGACCAGGGAUGUUCUCUGUUUAGUGAGUCCUCCAGAUCAGAGGCAGUAGGGAUGACCAGGGAUGUUCUCUGUUUAGUGAGUCCUCCAGAUCAGAGACAGUAGGGAUGACCAGGAAUGUUCUCUGUUUAGUGAGUCCUCCAGAUCAGAGACAGCAGGGAUGACCAGGAAUGUUCUCUGUUUAGUGAGUCCACCAGAUCAGAGACAGCAGGGAUGACCAGGGAUGUUCUCUUGAUAAGUAUGUGAAUUGGACCAUUUUCUGUCCUGCUAAGCAUUCAAAAUGUACUUUUGGGUGUCAGGGAAAAUUUAUGGAGUAAAAAGUACAUCAUUUUCAUUAGGAGUGUAUGGAGUAAAAAGUCAAAUAUAUAAAUGAUAAAAGUACAGAUAACCCCCCCCUCCAAAAAUGCCUUAAGUACUUUACACCACUGAUGGGUGCUUGGUCCCAGGUAGGGAGGAUGUUUUAUAACCCCACGACAGUAUGACACAGGGAAACUAACUGGCAGUAAUAUUUGCUGCCUUUGAACAUUUUGAAAUGUGUACAUUUAGCUACAUCAAAUGUUGCCCACCUUCCCCAAGUACAACAGAGCUUUACUAUGGUUCUGACUAGGUGGAAUACAGACUUUCUCGUAGCAGGUUAGGAGAAUGAGGUUACGGUUAUGAAAAGGGUUAGCUAAAAUGCUCUCCUAGCCUUCUAUGAAAAGUCACUUCCUGGUUGUGGCUGUACUCCAUCUUGUCCCAAGGUUUUCCCAAACUCUUUUGUUGUUGUUGCCAUAGAUCUACACAGCUGAUUCAAAUAAUCAACGAAUCAUCAAGCUUUGAUCAUUUGAAUCAACUGUGUCGUGUUAGGGGGCAAAAAACUCAAAUGUGCACACCUUGGGGUCCCGAGGACCUUGGGAAACGCUGAUCUAGUCACAACUCUGUAUCAUUGUCUUGACUCACUGUGUGAAUUCCUUCCCUAGUUGGUGAUGCACUGUGACAUGUGUAAAAAAAAAUAUAUUAAAAAAUUGCUGUAUAUGAAUGAGUAUAAAAUAAAGUGAAAUGUUC